RNAcentral lists this ribosomal RNA (253 nucleotides) under uncultured bacterium. RNAcentral's name for it is "partial 16S ribosomal RNA". It matches the Rfam family "Bacterial small subunit ribosomal RNA", at positions 524 to 776 of the family's 1533-position model. The record is from RNAcentral.
UACGAAGGGGGCUAGCGUUGUUCGGAUUUACUGGGCGUAAAGCGCGUGUAGGCGGGUCGUUAAGUUGGGGGUGAAAUCCCGGAGCUCGACUCCGGAACUGCCUUCAAAACUGGCGACCUGGACUCAAGCAGAGGCAAGUGGAAUUGCGAGUGUAGAGGUGAAAUUCGUAGAGAUUCGCAGGAACACCAGUGGCGAAGGCGACUUGCUGGGCUUGUAGUGACGCUGAGACGCGAAAGAGUGGGGAGCAAACAGG